GCCUCUGUAGCUCAACGGAUAGAGCAGGCCUCUCCUAAGGGCAAGAUGGGGGUUCAAUUCCCUCCGGGGGCA
Molecule: transfer RNA, 72 nt
Filed under: Elusimicrobia bacterium CG1_02_63_36
Lineage: Bacteria; Pseudomonadati; Elusimicrobiota
Also listed under: 3 other names
Description: tRNA-Arg
Rfam family: tRNA
About the family: Transfer RNA (tRNA) molecules are approximately 80 nucleotides in length.
Source: RNAcentral